CUGGGUUUGAACUGCUGCGGAAAACCGUAGAGAUACGGUCCCUCCUUCGGGAGUCGCAGUAGAGGUGCUGCAUGGCUGUCGUCAGCUCGUGCCGUGAGGUGUUGGGUUAAGUCCCGCAACGAGCGCAACCCUUACCCUUAGUUGCCAGCGGUUCGGCCGGGGACUCUAGGGGGACUGCCGGUGACAAACCGGAGGAAGGUGGGGAUGACGUCAAGUCAUCAUGGCCUCUAUGUCCAGGGCUACACACGUACUACAAUGGUCGGUACAAAGGGUCGCAAACCUGCGAGGGGGAGCUAAUCCCAAAAAACCGGCCUCAGUUCGGAUUGCAGUCUGCAACUCGACUGCAUGAAGGUGGAAUCGCUAGUAAUCGCGCAACAGCAUGGCGCGGUGAAUACGUUCCC
This 401-nucleotide ribosomal RNA is filed under the name uncultured bacterium. RNAcentral's name for it is "bacterial SSU rRNA". It matches the Rfam family "Bacterial small subunit ribosomal RNA", at positions 975 to 1375 of the family's 1533-position model. The record is from RNAcentral.